RNAcentral lists this ribosomal RNA (1540 nucleotides) under Staphylococcus aureus C3489. RNAcentral describes it as "16S ribosomal RNA". It matches the Rfam family "Bacterial small subunit ribosomal RNA". The record is from RNAcentral. Lineage: Bacteria; Bacillati; Bacillota; Bacilli; Caryophanales; Staphylococcaceae.
AGAGUUUGAUCCUGGCUCAGGAUGAACGCUGGCGGCGUGCCUAAUACAUGCAAGUCGAGCGAACGGACGAGAAGCUUGCUUCUCUGAUGUUAGCGGCGGACGGGUGAGUAACACGUGGAUAACCUACCUAUAAGACUGGGAUAACUUCGGGAAACCGGAGCUAAUACCGGAUAAUAUUUUGAACCGCAUGGUUCAAAAGUGAAAGAUGGUCUUGCUGUCACUUAUAGAUGGAUCCGCGCUGCAUUAGCUAGUUGGUAAGGUAACGGCUUACCAAGGCAACGAUGCAUAGCCGACCUGAGAGGGUGAUCGGCCACACUGGAUCUGAGACACGGUCCAGACUCCUACGGGAGGCAGCAGUAGGGAAUCUUCCGCAAUGGGCGAAAGCCUGACGGAGCAACGCCGCGUGAGUGAUGAAGGUCUUCGGAUCGUAAAACUCUGUUAUUAGGGAAGAACAUAUGUGUAAGUAACUGUGCACAUCUUGACGGUACCUAAUCAGAAAGCCACGGCUAACUACGUGCCAGCAGCCGCGGUAAUACGUAGGUGGCAAGCGUUAUCCGGAAUUAUUGGGCGUAAAGCGCGCGUAGGCGGUUUUUUAAGUCUGAUGUGAAAGCCCACGGCUCAACCGUGGAGGGUCAUUGGAAACUGGAAAACUUGAGUGCAGAAGAGGAAAGUGGAAUUCCAUGUGUAGCGGUGAAAUGCGCAGAGAUAUGGAGGAACACCAGUGGCGAAGGCGACUUUCUGGUCUGUAACUGACGCUGAUGUGCGAAAGCGUGGGGAUCAAACAGGAUUAGAUACCCUGGUAGUCCACGCCGUAAACGAUGAGUGCUAAGUGUUAGGGGGUUUCCGCCCCUUAGUGCUGCAGCUAACGCAUUAAGCACUCCGCCUGGGGAGUACGACCGCAAGGUUGAAACUCAAAGGAAUUGACGGGGACCCGCACAAGCGGUGGAGCAUGUGGUUUAAUUCGAAGCAACGCGAAGAACCUUACCAAAUCUUGACAUCCUUUGACAACUCUAGAGAUAGAGCCUUCCCCUUCGGGGGACAAAGUGACAGGUGGUGCAUGGUUGUCGUCAGCUCGUGUCGUGAGAUGUUGGGUUAAGUCCCGCAACGAGCGCAACCCUUAAGCUUAGUUGCCAUCAUUAAGUUGGGCACUCUAAGUUGACUGCCGGUGACAAACCGGAGGAAGGUGGGGAUGACGUCAAAUCAUCAUGCCCCUUAUGAUUUGGGCUACACACGUGCUACAAUGGACAAUACAAAGGGCAGCGAAACCGCGAGGUCAAGCAAAUCCCAUAAAGUUGUUCUCAGUUCGGAUUGUAGUCUGCAACUCGACUACAUGAAGCUGGAAUCGCUAGUAAUCGUAGAUCAGCAUGCUACGGUGAAUACGUUCCCGGGUCUUGUACACACCGCCCGUCACACCACGAGAGUUUGUAACACCCGAAGCCGGUGGAGUAACCUUUUAGGAGCUAGCCGUCGAAGGUGGGACAAAUGAUUGGGGUGAAGUCGUAACAAGGUAGCCGUAUCGGAAGGUGCGGCUGGAUCACCU